GACGAACGCUGGCGGCGUGCUUAACACAUGCAAGUCGAACGGAAAGGCCCUGCUUUUGUGGGGUGCUCGAGUGGCGAACGGGUGAGUAACACGUGAGUAACCUGCCCUUGCCUUUGGGAUAACUUCAGGAAACUGGGGCUAAUACCGGAUAGGAGCUCCUGCUGCAUGGUGGGGGUUGGAAAGUUUCGGCGGUUGGGGAUGGACUCGCGGCUUAUCAGCUUGUUGGUGGGGUCGUGGCUUACCAAGGCUUUGACGGGUAGCCGGCCUGAGAGGGUGACCGGCCACAUUGGGACUGAGAUACGGCCCAGACUCCUACGGGAGGCAGCAGUGGGGAAUAUUGCACAAUGGGCGGAAGCCUGAUGCAGCAACGCCGCGUGCGGGAUGACGGCCUUCGGGUUGUAAACCGCUUUCGCCUGUGACGAAGCGUGAGUGACGGUAAUGGGUAAAGAAGCACCGGCUAACUACGUG
Molecule: ribosomal RNA, 468 nt
Filed under: uncultured bacterium
Lineage: Bacteria
Description: partial 16S ribosomal RNA
Rfam family: Bacterial small subunit ribosomal RNA
Source: RNAcentral